RNAcentral lists this transfer RNA (72 nucleotides) under Camelus bactrianus (Bactrian camel). It matches the Rfam family "tRNA". Rfam says of the family: Transfer RNA (tRNA) molecules are approximately 80 nucleotides in length. Their secondary structure includes four short double-helical elements and three loops (D, anti-codon, and T loops). Lineage: Eukaryota; Metazoa; Chordata; Mammalia; Artiodactyla; Camelidae. The record is from Rfam by way of RNAcentral. RNAcentral also lists the same sequence under 2 other names.
CAAGGCAUAGCUCAGUGGUAGAGCAUAUGCUUAGCAUGCAUGAGGUCCUGGGUUCAAUCCCCAGUACCUCCA